AUGUCCCAACCCUAGAAUCGCUGUUUUUCCUCUCGCUCCUCCUGUGGGCGGCGCCGCCGCUGCGCACAAAACACAUCCUCGCCAGCGUAGCUUCUCCGGCGUCCGGCCAACGCGCUCACUAGCCUCCCGCCUUCCUCCACAUCUCCUCGCCUCCACCCCAUCCAGUUCGUGCCAUUCGCUGCUCCAAGACAAGGGCAUGGCGCUCGGCGGCUGCGGCAACGAAGCUGAUGGUGCACGAGCCAACCAUGAAGGCAGUAGCACGGGGCAGCGACAGCAGCAUGGAGGGCGUCCUCUUGUUUGGGAAGGUAAUGGAACUGCAAAUAGGAGUGGCAGCGGCGACCAGGAUGCAAAUGGAAGUGGUUCCCAAAGACCUUGGAAAGGACUUAAAGACAAUAACUUUGCAAUGCUAAAUGGCACGUGAGCAAAGGAUAUCAAGAAGCUUUUGGAUGUUGGGAAGCUUGGAGCUGAUGCUUCAAAUAAGCUGAUGGUUGUCUUUUGGAGAUGUUUCUAUGUUUAAUGCUUUAAAGUCUUUUGGCUGUACUGGACUAUUUAAACUUUGAACUAUGCUGUGAUGGUUGAACUGAUGCUGGACGGUUAAGGGUUUAUGUCAGAGGCAACUUUAUAACUAAUGUGUGUCUGUUAUGUUGGACUGUUAAGGGUUAUGUUGGAGGCAAUUUUAUAACUAAUGUGUGUCUGCUA
Triticum aestivum (bread wheat) is the source of this 699-nucleotide long non-coding RNA. RefSeq lists it as uncharacterized. The transcript is spliced from 4 exons. The record is from RefSeq and is a predicted model, not a curated record. Lineage: Eukaryota; Viridiplantae; Streptophyta; Magnoliopsida; Poales; Poaceae.